RNAcentral lists this ribosomal RNA (492 nucleotides) under uncultured Actinomycetes bacterium. RNAcentral's name for it is "bacterial SSU rRNA". It matches the Rfam family "Bacterial small subunit ribosomal RNA", at positions 355 to 859 of the family's 1533-position model. The record is from RNAcentral. Lineage: Bacteria; Bacillati; Actinomycetota; Actinomycetes.
UGGGGAAUAUUGCACAAUGGGCGAAAGCCUGAUGCAGCGACGCCGCGUGAGGGAUGACGGCCUUCGGGUUGUAAACCUCUUUCAGUAGGGAAGAAGCGAAAGUGACGGUACCUGCAGAAGAAGCGCCGGCUAACUACGUGCCAGCAGCCGCGGUAAUACGUAGGGCGCAAGCGUUAUCCGGAAUUAUUGGGCGUAAAGAGCUCGUAGGCGGUUUGUCGCGUCUGCCGUGAAAGUCCGGGGCUCAACUCCGGAUCUGCGGUGGGUACGGGCAGACUAGAGUGAUGUAGGGGAGACUGGAAUUCCUGGUGUAGCGGCGAAAUGCGCAGAUAUCAGGAGGAACACCGAUGGCGAAGGCAGGUCUCUGGGCAUUAACUGACGCUGAGGAGCGAAAGCGUGGGGAGCGAACAGGAUUAGAUACCUGGUAGUCCAUGCCGUAAACGUUGGGCACUAGGUGUGGGGGACAUUCCACGUUUCCGCGCCGUAGCUAACGCU